UACAGAGGUCCCAAGCGUUGUUCGGAUUCAUUGGGCGUAAAGGGUGCGUAGGUGGCAUGGUAAGUCGGGUGUGAAAUCCCGGGGCUCAACCCCGGAACUGCACUCGAUACUGCCGUGCUCGAGUACUGGAGAGGAGACUGGAAUUUACGGUGUAGCAGUGAAAUGCGUAGAUAUCGUAAGGAAGACCGGUGGCGAAGGCUAGUCUCUGGGCCGAUACUGACGCUGAGGAGCGAAAGCGUGGGGAGCGAACAGG
Molecule: ribosomal RNA, 253 nt
Filed under: uncultured bacterium
Lineage: Bacteria
Description: partial 16S ribosomal RNA
Rfam family: Bacterial small subunit ribosomal RNA
Source: RNAcentral